UACGGAGGGGGUUAGCGUUGUUCGGAAUCACUGGGCGUAAAGGGCGCGUAGGCGGCUCGGUAAGUAGGGGGUGAAAUCCUGCGGCUCAACCGCAGGGCUGCCUUCUAAACUGUCGAGCUCGAGCACGGUAGAGGCAGAUGGAAUUCCCGGUGUAGCGGUGGAAUGCGUAGAGAUCGGGAAGAACAUCAGUGGCGAAGGCGGUCUGCUGGGCCGUUGCUGACGCUGAGGCGCGACAGCGUGGGGAGCAAACAGG
RNAcentral lists this ribosomal RNA (253 nucleotides) under uncultured bacterium. RNAcentral describes it as "partial 16S ribosomal RNA". It matches the Rfam family "Bacterial small subunit ribosomal RNA", at positions 524 to 776 of the family's 1533-position model. The record is from RNAcentral.